RNAcentral lists this ribosomal RNA (393 nucleotides) under Coryphoblennius galerita (Montagu's blenny). RNAcentral describes it as "partial 12S ribosomal RNA". It matches the Rfam family "Bacterial small subunit ribosomal RNA", at positions 791 to 1385 of the family's 1533-position model. Lineage: Eukaryota; Metazoa; Chordata; Actinopteri; Blenniiformes; Blenniidae. The record is from RNAcentral.
UAUGCCUGGCCUUAAACUUAGAUGGUAAGUUACUUACACCAUCCGCCUGGGAACUACGAGCAUUAGCUUAAAACCCAAAGGACUUGGCGGUGCUUAAUACCCCCCUAGAGGAGCCUGUUCUAGAACCGAUAAUCCUCGUCAAACCUCACCCUUUCUAGCUCAUUCAGCCUGUAUACCUCCGUCGCCAGCUUACCCUGUGAAGGACUUAUAGUAAGCAUAAUUGGUACAACCUAAAACGUCAGGUCGAGGUGCAGCACACGAAAGGGGAAGAAAUGGGCUACAUUAUCUGCUUACAGAUUAUUACGAAAAGUGUACUGAAAAAUACACUAGAAGGAGGAUUUAGUAGUAAGAGGGGAACAGAGUGCCCCCCUGAAACCGGCCCUUAAGCGCGCA